AUUGAACGCUGGCGGCAUGCUUUACACAUGCAAGUCGAACGGCAGCGCGGUCUUCGCCCUCGCUUCGGGUUGCCGACGGGUGAGUGGUGCAUCGGAACGUGCCCAUUUAUGUUUGAUAGCCCGGCGACGUCCGGAUUAAUACCGCAUACCACCAUAGGGUGUACGGGGGGGACCGAGAGGCCUUGCGCUCUUGGAGCGGCCGAUGUCGGAUUAGCUAGUUGGUGGGGUAAAGGCUUACCAAGGCGACGAUCCGUAGCUGGUCUGAGAGGACGAGCAGCCACACUGGAACUGAGACACGGUCCAGACUCCUACGGGAGGCAGCAGUGGGGAAUUUUGGACAAUGGGCGCAAGCCUGAUCCAGCCAUGCCGCGUGAGGGAAGAAGGCCUUCGGGUUGUAAAGCGCUUUUGUUGGGGAAGAAAACCUGUGGGCUAAUACCCCGGGGGGCUGACGGUACCGGAAGAAUAAGCACCGGCUAACUACGUG
This 484-nucleotide ribosomal RNA is filed under the name uncultured bacterium. RNAcentral describes it as "partial 16S ribosomal RNA". It matches the Rfam family "Bacterial small subunit ribosomal RNA", at positions 30 to 507 of the family's 1533-position model. The record is from RNAcentral.